Oncorhynchus keta (chum salmon) is the source of this 895-nucleotide long non-coding RNA. RefSeq lists it as uncharacterized. The record is from RefSeq and is a predicted model, not a curated record. The transcript has 3 exons. NCBI's taxonomy places the organism in Eukaryota, Metazoa, Chordata, Actinopteri, Salmoniformes, Salmonidae.
GGGAGAGACAAUAGAGCGAGGGGAAGAGGAGAGAGAGCGCGAGGGGAGGAGGAGAGGGAUGGAGAAAGAAAGGAAAUGGACAAAAGAAAAGAGGUGGGAGAAGAGAGAGGGAAUAGGGAAUACAGAAAGAGGUGGGAGAAGAGAGAGGGAAUAGGGAAUACAGAAAGAGGUGGAAGAAGAGGGAAGAGGGAAUACAGAAAGAGGUGGGAGAAGAGAGAGGGAAGAGGGAAUACAGAAAGAGGUGGAAGAAGAGAGAGGGAAGAGGGAAUACAGAAAGAGGUGGAAGAAGAGAGAGGGAAGAGGGAAUACAGAAAGAGGUGGAAGAAGAGAGAGGGAAGAGGGAAUACAGAAAGAGGUGGAAGAAGAGAGAGGGAAGAGGGAAUACAGAAAGAGGUGGAAGAAGAGAGAGGGAAGAGGGAAUACAGAAAGAGGUGGAAGAAGAGAGAGGGAAGAGGGAAUACAGAAAGAGGUGGAAGAAGAGAGAGGGAAGAGGGAAUACAGAAAGAGGUGGAAGAAGAGAGGGAAGAGGGAAUACAGAAAGAGGUGGGAGAAGAGAGAGGGAAGAGGGAAUACAGAAAGGGGUGGGAGAAGAGAGGGAAGAGGGAAUACAGAAAGAGGUGGGAGAAGAGAGGGAAGAGGGAAUACAGAAAGAGGUGGGAGAAGAGAGAGGGAAGAGGGAAUACAGAAAGAGGUGGGAGAAGAGAGGGAAUAGGGAAUACAGAAAGAGGUGGGAGAAGAGAGAGGGAAGAGGGAAUACAGAAAGAGGUGGAAGAAGAGAGAGGGAAGAGGGAAUACAGAAAGGGGUUGGAGAAAUGAAGAGGUCAACAUUUGGCCCAUAAGCAGACAAACACACAAGCUACAGGUAGAUGGUCCGUAGGUACGGUAGAUUCUCCAU